Molecule: ribosomal RNA, 207 nt
Filed under: uncultured bacterium
Lineage: Bacteria
Description: partial 16S ribosomal RNA
Rfam family: Bacterial small subunit ribosomal RNA
Source: RNAcentral
CGUGUAGGCGGCCUUUCAAGUCAGAUGUGAAAUCUCAGGGCUUGACCCUGAAACUGCAUUUGAAACUGGAGGGCUUGAGGACCGGAGAGGGCAGUGGAAUUCCCAGUGUAGCGGUGAAAUGCGUAGAUAUUGGGAAGAACACCAGUGGCGAAGGCGACUGCCUGGACGGCUCCUGACGCUGAGGCGCGAAAGCUAGGGGAGCGAACG